RNAcentral lists this ribosomal RNA (294 nucleotides) under uncultured Pseudomonas sp. RNAcentral describes it as "partial 16S ribosomal RNA". It matches the Rfam family "Bacterial small subunit ribosomal RNA", at positions 1089 to 1382 of the family's 1533-position model. Lineage: Bacteria; Pseudomonadati; Pseudomonadota; Gammaproteobacteria; Pseudomonadales; Pseudomonadaceae. The record is from RNAcentral.
GUAACGAGCGCAACCCUUGUCCUUAGUUACCAGCACGUUAUGUGGGCACUCUAAGGAGACUGCCGGUGACAAACCGGAGGAAGGUGGGGAUGACGUCAAGUCAUCAUGGCCCUUACGGCCUGGGCUACACACGUGCUACAAUGGUCGGUACAAAGGGUUGCCAAGCCGCGAGGUGGAGCUAAUCCCAUAAAACCGAAUCGUAGUCCGGAUCGCAGUCUGCAACUCGACUGCGUGAAGUCGGAAUCGCUAGUAAUCGUGAAUCAGAAUGUCACGGUGAAUACGUUCCCGGGCCUU